This 466-nucleotide ribosomal RNA is filed under the name uncultured bacterium. RNAcentral's name for it is "bacterial SSU rRNA". It matches the Rfam family "Bacterial small subunit ribosomal RNA", at positions 335 to 790 of the family's 1533-position model. The record is from RNAcentral.
ACUCCUACGGGAGGCAGCAGUGGGGAAUAUUGCACAAUGGGCGCAAGCCUGAUGCAGCCAUGCCGCGUGUAUGAAGAAGGCCUUCGGGUUGUAAAGUACUUUCAGCAGUGAGGAAGGUGGAUAUGUUAAUAGCAUAUUCUAUUUGACGUUUAGCUGCAGAAGAAGCACCGGCUAACUCCGUGCCAGCAGCCGCGGUAAUACGGAGGGUGCGAGCGUUAAUCGGAAUUACUGGGCGUAAAGCGCAUGCAGGUGGUUUGUUAAGUCAGAUGUGAAAGCCCGGGGCUCAACCUCGGAAUUGCAUUUGAAACUGGCAAACUAGAGUACUGUAGAGGGGUAGAAUUUCAGGUGUAGCGGUGAAAUGCGUAGAGAUCUAGAAGGAAUACCGGUGGCGAACGGCGGCCCCCGUGGACAGAUACUGACACUCAGAUGCGAAAGCGUGGGAGCAAACGAGGAUUAGAUACCCCGU